CGUACGAGAGUUUUUAACUCAAGUGGCGGACGGGUGAGUAACACGUAAGAAUUUGCCUUUAGGAGGGGGANAACAACUGGAAACGGUUGCUAAUACCCCAUAUGCUUUCGAGUGAAACGGAUUUUUCCGCCUAGAGAGAAGCUUGCGGCUGAUUAGCUUGUUGGUAAGGUAAUGGCUUACCAAGGCGACGAUCAGUAUCUGGUUUGAGAGGACGAUCAGACACACUGGAACUGAGACACGGUCCAGACUCCUACGGGAGGCAGCAGUAGGGAAUUUUCCGCAAUGGGCGAAAGCCUGACGGAGCAAUACCGCGUGAGGGAUGACGGCCUAUGGGUUGUAAACCUCUUUUUUCAGGGAGGAAUCAAUGACGUGUACCUGAAGAAUAAGCAUCGGCUAACUCCGUGCCAGCAGCCGCGGUAAGACGGAGGAUGCAAGUGUUAUCCGGAAUCACUGGGCGUAAAGCGUCUGUAGGUGGUCAAAUAAGUCAACUGUUAAAUCUUGAGGCUCAACCUCAAAACCGCAGUCGAAACUAUUAGACUAGAGUAUAGUAGGGGUAAAGGGAAUUUCCAGUGGAGCGGUGAAAUGCGUAGAGAUUGGAAGGAACACCGAUGGCGAAGGCACUUUACUGGGCUAUUACUAACACUCAGAGACGAAAGCUAGGGUAGCAAAUGGGAUUAGAUACCCUGGUAGUCCCCUGAAUUCCAGCACACU
This 711-nucleotide ribosomal RNA is filed under the name uncultured phototrophic eukaryote. RNAcentral's name for it is "bacterial SSU rRNA". It matches the Rfam family "Bacterial small subunit ribosomal RNA", at positions 63 to 817 of the family's 1533-position model. The record is from RNAcentral.